ACAUACGGCCACAGACACAGGAAAAUACGGGAUCCCGUCCGCUCUCCCAGAGUCAAACCCGUGAUCGCCGAAUUAGUAGUUGGGUCGGUGACGACCAGCGAAUACUCGGUGCUGUAUGUU
Non-coding RNA from Diaporthe ampelina, 120 nucleotides. NCBI's taxonomy places the organism in Eukaryota, Fungi, Ascomycota, Sordariomycetes, Diaporthales, Diaporthaceae. The record is from Rfam.